Molecule: long non-coding RNA, 5271 nt
Filed under: Prunus persica (peach)
Lineage: Eukaryota; Viridiplantae; Streptophyta; Magnoliopsida; Rosales; Rosaceae
Description: long non-coding RNA (PPER_LNC007965)
Source: RNAcentral
CUUAAGCGUUUUCGGGUGGCCGAAAAAUCUCGGAACCAAGACUCCAAAUUCCUAUCCUAGGUAGAACACCCCAUUUGGAGUCACUUUUGUUCUUGGACAAACCCCAAAAAGUGACCAGAAACAGUAGUUCUAGGCGGCCGAAGUUUCGGCCAGAUUUCAAGUCGAAAAUUGAUCGCUUUAGGACUAAAAUCGAUCGAAACCCGUACAUCCAUCAGCUAGAACGUGAAAAAUAGCUGAGAAACCAUACCUUACUCGACCGAUUUGGUGGAAAAUUGAAGGAGAAAAUCGAGCUGGAAGUUCGGGUGGUUUCGGACGAAUCUCCGUCGGAAAACAUGGUUUUCCGAUCAACUCCGAGCGGCCCAAGGGUGGAGGUCGGUCAGGUUUUGACGGCGAGAGGGAGGCAGACCCGAUGGUACCCACGGCGGAGAUCAGCUCGGCCUGUGGUGGCCGGGCCGUCGCCGAGAAGGCGAAGGGUCGCACGGCCAAGUCGCGCGGAAGGAGAGAGAGAGAGAGAGAACUGACGAGGGAGAGGAGAGAGAGAUAAAAAUCUGACUUUUUGACCAAAUUACCGUUUUGCCCUUCGCGGUUUUUAGACCAUAUCUUCUUUGUUACAGCUCCGAUCCGGGUCUACUCCGUGUCCACGAACUCGUUUCGCCGCGCUCUACGCAAUGGCUUAAGCGGAAUGCCCAAAUUCUUUCUCGACUAAAAAGUCAAUUUUCCCCCUAUUAAAUAAUGCGAGGGCAAAAUAGUCUUUUCGCUAGAAGAUAUUUUCCUUACUUUUUAGAUAUUUUCUUUCUUUUUAGAUAUUUUGUUUUGGUUUGUUUUGGGUUCUUACAAUCUACCCCCCUUAUAAAAAUUUCGUCCUCGAAAUUUACAUCCCUGUCAUUCGAAGAGGGGGAAACAUUGCUCCUGUAAGUGCAACUCAGGUUACUACAUUGCAUAAAUCACUGAAAGCUCAUUACGUUCCCUUCCAAACUCUAAAUUUCUUGCUUUCUGCACCUUCUGUAAUCUUAUUGGGUCUGGAAUAGCUAAAAUUUGGCUCCCUUGCUUCCUUGAUUCUCAUUUCACCUUCCUCAGGCGAUAACUAUCGAGAAUACUUAUCUGAAGAUCCUUCUUCUAGUAUCUGCAUAACUUCUUGCCAAUCCUGGAUUACUUAGAGUCUUUUUCUGCUUAAUUCAAUCAGGUUCUUUAUUCCUUACAAUACUUCCAGAUUUCAAUGAACCUUACUUGACAUUCUAUCUUCAUACUUGGGUGAUCCAUACUAUAUCUCGAGUAAGGCAUCUAUUGGAAACAUCUAAUCCAAGGGAAUCCAACAACUGUCACUUAAGGCAUACUCUCAAACCAACAUCUUUUUUUUUUACUCAAAUCGUUCUGAAACUGUAGUACAUUAUGUCCCAAUAACCUUUCCACAAUUUGAGUCAUUUUCUUAAACUGGUCGUCUGUCUAGAGCGAAUUGCGGUAUUAAACUGAAAUCAAGGCCCAAAAGCUUCUUUUACCUGAGUCUAACUGAAACCUAACCUGGAUUUCUAAUUCCAAACUAUAGAGACUGGUAUUCCACUAGCAGGGCCCAGAACGGUACCUACCACAUCUGGCACAUUAGAGCAACUUCUCCUGUUAGAGCCUAUCAACACCUGUCUCUCCAUGUUUUUGGCUACACCGGCCCCAGAACGAUUUGCAAUAUCAUCAUCCUGGCUGGUACCACUACUGAAACUAACUCCAGUUCGAUGGCCUCCAAGCCUGCGGCCGUUCAAUGAUUGGAAACUGUGAUUACCACUGUAGUAUCUCUCUUAAACUUUUCCUGAUUAAAGUUACCUAUCUCCAAAUACUGUGCACAAAGUGCACCCCAUGGUCUGCCCCUUAUCUGGCUGGGGCAGACAUCAUCACGGCCUCAAAAUUGACUAACUAUUAACUGAUCACUAUACCUUGAAUGGAGGCUUUUAACCUGAUCGUAACUAGGUACUACCUCUUACUUUCCAAUCUCUAUUAAUAGAAACCGUACGCGAAACCUUUUUCUCGUAUUCGGGUUCAACCAUUAUCCUCUAUUCUGCUGUAAAAACUCCGGCAUUCACACCUUCUGUAGACUUAUAGAUAUGACUGACUAUCAUAUUCUGCUCCCAAAAUGCUUACUUAGUACGAGUCAAAGGAUUUUAACAUCACUUCUUAACCAAAUCCUGCCCAAAACUUUAUUCUUCUGUGGAACAACCAGGAUCUCUAUGACCUGCUAUAUUUCUUCAACUCAAUCCUCUUUUACUACUAGAUACCACUAUUAUCCCAAUUUAUAGCUCUUGCUCCUGUUUACUUGAUCCACCUAUCUCGCGGAUGGAUCUCUGGCUGACUAAAGCUUGAGCUAACAUCUCCAGGGUCUACUGAGUGUUAGGAUCUCCCUGCCUACUAGGUACAAUAGGUACGUCUCCUGAUCAACCUCUUACAAGAGAUUACUCUGCCGGUUCAGAUACCGGUGCAGUUCCUGUCAUACUUGGAAAUUUCAUCCCCUUACGUCGGGAUAACUAUUUGAUUUUCCUACGGAUACCACCACCAUUUGGGCCCCACUUGAGAAGAGAACGAGGAUGCACAGAGUGCGAAGUCUACAGGAAGUAAAACCUACGCUCUGAUACCAAAUUGACAGGACCCGACCCAAUUUCCGCUUUGGAAUCCGAGUCGAAUCCUGUGCGUGUCCGACAUCUGGCUAAUGUCGGGCACAAAAGACCUUUUUACCCUUCUCGUUUCAAAUUCUUUCCAAAUUUCCCUUAGACUUCUGCCGAAAAUUCGGCAGAGUCUCCCCUGUAUUUUGACAAAUCCCAAAUUCUUCCGCCUGUUAAACAGUCAAUAAAUUCACACCAACUGCCAGAAUAUCUCAAGUAACCAUUCUCAACUCUAGUUUCUCAAUUUUAACUAGAUAUCAGAGCAUUUUCUAAGGCUUUCGAGGUUUCAAGGAUUUUCUUCAAAACUCUACCUUUCUUGAUGGCGCGGAAGCUAUGUAUGGCCCGGUGGUGGAUCCCGCGUACUUCUACGGCCUGGGGGCGUAAAACAGAUUGAAAAUGUGAGUGGACAAAAAUAAUGCUCUUGAAAACAAUUUUUAUAAGCAUAAUAACCCCAUAACAAUAACUUGAUAAGUAAGGCUAAGGUUCACCUGUGUUUAAUAUAAGGUUUCAUCUGAAAAUAAAUAUAAUCGUAAGCCUAUAGCUUCGUAACACUGAACAAUUAUAUAAAGAUACAAAAGGCGCAAAUAUCAAAGAAACUGGUUUGAAAUAGUUGAAAAUCAUAACUGAAUAAAAGAGUUGAAAAUCCUUUGAAAAUACCACCUACUUGUACCCCUGUCAUAACCGUCAAUUCCCCUGGCAGGUCUCGGGCGCCACGCAGUCCACCCGAGCCGCAAACUGGCGAAAUCAGGGGACUAUGAUCAGCCUGAUCUUGCCGGCAGAUUCCUCGAUGACACCAAGUCAGCUUGAGUCGCUCUGGCAGGAUGCAGGGGACCGUAGUCAGCCUGAUCCGCAAUCCUGGCAGGUCUCGGGGACACAGAGUCAGCCGAGCCGCAAUCCUGGCAGGUCUCGGGACACCAAGUCUGCCGAGCCGCAAAUCCUGGCACUCACGGUCCGAGCGUCCCCGUAACUCGUGAGGCAAAGUCAAGUGCACUGACAUAAACUGAAAUCGGACUGGAUGUCCGUAGACAUCGGUCCAACUCUGGGUAAUCACCGUAAAUAAAUGGGUACGAGGUGGUUUUAAAAUAAAUUCCUUUAGAAAAAUCUGAUUAAUAAUUGAAAUCUCAAAUUGUGCUGCUAUUUCAUCUGCCAUAAGCCUCAAAAUCUGUUUUCUAUAACUCUUAAGCAUGUAAAAGUAAGCAGCACACAACUCAUAGAACUAUUUCUGUAUUAAUCAUGCUCGGAAACACAAUAAAGCUUACUCAAGAUCAAAUAAGGAAUUUAGUCAAAUAAACCCGUUUAUAAAAACUCUUUUAUAUAAAAUCAAUAUAAAAUCACUUAUAAAAUCUUAUUUAUGGAAAACCUCUAUAUAACUCAUUUAUAUAAAAUAAUUCAUGAAUGAAAGUCCACUCACAGAUGGUCCGAGCUACUUUGACCCUUCGAAGGUCUCUUUUGCAAUCCUGUCGGGCUCCUGGUGCCUGAUUACCCAUAAAGAUUAAAUUAAUAAACUGCUCAAUAAAAAGAAUUUCAACUAAACACCCUGCCCCCGGCUCCUAGAAAUACGUGCACUCGUUUUAGGUUACUUCUAUGCCCACCUUAGCUUUUUGGGACAGUUAGACCGGCCUUAAGAGACCCGAAACCUAAAUAAGCGGUAAGCUGCCAGAUCGGCCGAUUCGGGACCCCGUGGGUCCACGGCCUCCGAUGGCCAAUCUGGGCUCCUCUGAAGGUUCCUUACAGAGAAGGAACCAUGUUCUGUGAUUUUGGUCCGAAACGGACGGUCGGAUUAGCCAAAAUCGCGUUAUCGCUUAAAAUCCAAACCCUAGCCCCAGGGUUCGCGAUUUCGGAGUAUCCGGGACUCCGAUUCGCAAUCCGUUGAAUCCUACACGAUCCUGAGAUCAUGUAGACCGACAUAUCCGGAAUCCAGCGCGAUCCAAUUAUUUGACGACACUGCACCCACGGAUCGCGCGAUAUGGAAAAUUCGUUCGGGGCUCAAACGGACUCCGAAUCUAGAUCCGCAAAAUCCUACGCGCUCGUGACGACACGAGGGUCACAAAACUGCACAGAAUUACUCCACCACCCUCGCCCACGCGUCCCAGCACGCGCGGUCAGAUUUGGGUGUCUUAAGCGUUUUCGGGUGGCCGAAAAAUCUCGGAACCAAGACUCCAAAUUCCUAUCCUAGGUAGAACACCCCAUUUGGAGUCACUUUUGUUCUUGGACAAACCCCAAAAAGUGACCAGAAACAGUAGUUCUAGGCGGCCGAAGUUUCGGCCAGAUUUCAAGUCGAAAAUUGAUCGCUUUAGGACUAAAAUCGAUCGAAACCCGUACAUCCAUCAGCUAGAACGUGAAAAAUAGCUGAGAAACCAUACCUUACUCGACCGAUUUGGUGGAAAAUUGAAGGAGAAAAUCGAGCUGGAAGUUCGGGUGGUUUCGGACGAAUCUCCGUCGGAAAACAUGGUUUUCCGAUCAACUCCGAGCGGCCCAAGGGUGGAGGUCGGUCAGGUUUUGACGACGAGAGGGAGGCAGACCCGAUGGUACCCACGGCGGAGAUCAGCUCGGCCUGUGGUGGCCGGGCCGUCGCCGAGAAGGCGAAGGGUCGCACGGCCAAGUCGCGCGGAAGGAGAGAGAGAGAGAA